AUAUGAUUUAAGAUAGAAAUCAAGUUGUUAAUUUUUCUAUUCUUAUCCAUUUAAUAUUUGAUAAGUAGAGUAUUUAUCUACAUCAUUUUAACUCAAUUUUUGAGGAGGGGUCCCUAUGAUAGUUUGCUAUCAGGACUCUUGAACGUUGCCUUGGUGUUACACUACAACCUUAACCUGGCGCAGACCAC
This is a small nuclear RNA of Solanum pennellii, 188 nucleotides long. RefSeq annotates it as U2 spliceosomal RNA. The record is from RefSeq and is a predicted model, not a curated record. Lineage: Eukaryota; Viridiplantae; Streptophyta; Magnoliopsida; Solanales; Solanaceae. The transcript has a single exon.